CAUGGGGUCUCUAGGGCUUGCUACCCAGCCUGUCUGGCUGCUUUACAGCAUGCUCUUGGUAAGCCCACCAUUUCCUCAGCUAGAGGGCAAGACCUACCUACCUUGUAGUUCUUGGUGCCAGCAGCCUGGGAGAGGAUGGCACAACCACUGCCAGCCACCGAAGCUGGUAAACACACUCUCACACACCCUUCUCUUUCCUCUUUCAUUUAUGUGUGUGGAUGGUUUUACCUGGGUGUAUACAGAGCAUGCCUGGUGCCCAGAGUCCAGAAGAGGGUGUUGGACCUCUGAAACUGCAGCUACAGAUGGUUGUGAGGUCAUGCGGGUGCUGGGAAUUGAAUCCAGGUCCUCGCCGAGAGCAGCCAAUGUUCUAACUGCGGCGGCAUCUCUCCUCCCCCUCUUUAAUGCCUAGACUCACAAGGCAGAGCUUCGGAGAUUAAGUCUUUAUUUAUGGAUUUAAUAACUGCACAGAAGAAUGAAACGUAGAUGCUGGUGUGUAUCAUCGAAAGGGCAGCAGAGGGAGAAGGGAACAAGGGAGCACUCUCAGCCCCAGCUCACCAGAACCACCGACGGCCACCUCCCUUUGCAGAACAGUUCACGGGGCCUCUGGGGUCUACCCCCUUGAAUAUUUGCCUCUCUGAGAACAGAUUCCCUGACCACAGCUCAGAUGCUCAUGGAGGAACAAGUCAGAUUCUCCUUUCUGGGCACUUUAGAAAUGACAGAUCAGAGAAUUUAGAUCUGGGCACUCUCCCUCUCCAAUUUAAAAAAAAAAAA
This 771-nucleotide long non-coding RNA is filed under the name Rattus norvegicus (Norway rat). RNAcentral's name for it is "long non-coding RNA NONRATT016731". Lineage: Eukaryota; Metazoa; Chordata; Mammalia; Rodentia; Muridae. The record is from RNAcentral.